RNAcentral lists this ribosomal RNA (279 nucleotides) under uncultured bacterium. RNAcentral's name for it is "partial 16S ribosomal RNA". It matches the Rfam family "Bacterial small subunit ribosomal RNA", at positions 506 to 784 of the family's 1533-position model. The record is from RNAcentral.
UGCCAGCCGCCGCGGUAAUACGGAGGGUGCGAGCGUUAAUCGGAAUUACUGGGCGUAAAGGGCGCGUAGGUGGCUAGACCAGUCGGGUGUGAAAGCCCCGGGCUUAACCCGGGAAUUGCAUUCGAUACUGUCUAGCUAGAGUGCAGUAGAGGGAAGCGGAAUUCCGGGUGUAGCGGUGAAAUGCGUAGAUAUCCGGAGGAACACCAGUGGCGAAGGCGGCUUCCUGGACUGACACUGACACUGAGGCGCGAAAGCGUGGGGAGCAAACAGGAUUAGAUA